GCGGUGUAGCCAAGCGGUAAGGCGAUGGUCUGCAAAACCAUUAUACCCCGGUUCGAAUCCGGGCACC
RNAcentral lists this transfer RNA (67 nucleotides) under marine eukaryotic metagenome. It matches the Rfam family "tRNA". From Rfam's summary of the family: Transfer RNA (tRNA) molecules are approximately 80 nucleotides in length. Their secondary structure includes four short double-helical elements and three loops (D, anti-codon, and T loops). The record is from RNAcentral.